GCUCAGUCCUUUGGAUGUUAAUCCAAGUGGACCAGUGCACCUAAAUAAUAAAUAUCCUCCUCAAUCCCUUGGUCUCUCUGAUUCCUUAUAUAUCCCGAUACAUUUCUGGGGGCUCAUCAGGAUUGGAGAUGACAGAUUUACUGUCCCCUUUGCCUGCGAUACUAGGUCCCCGGGGCCAGGAGAGACCCGGCAUCCAAGGUGUGCCACAGCUGAGCUUCACCCGGAUAUAUAGACCAGCUCUCCCCACGUCCCAGCACCCUGCCUGGCAGCGCAAUGGAACCGAGGAUGGGGCUGCAGGACGAUACCAGCACUUCAGGAACUGUGACAGAAUCUUGCUCCGCUGCCAAGGCUGGAGUGCACUGGUUCAAUCUCGGCUCACUGCAAACUCUGCCUCCCAAGUUCAAGUGAUUCUCCUGUGUCAGUUUCUUUAGGAAUACAGCACUCCAUAUUGUUACCAUAAUAAUGAAACGGAUUCCCAUGGCUACAGCGAUGAAGCAGCAGAAAAAAAAUGGAGAUGCUGUCAAAGAAAAAAGACACAGAUCAGAGAAAGAAGCAUAAAAGGUGUUUAAGAAAUAAGUAACAUAGCAGGGCGCGGUGGCUCAUGCCUGUAAUCCCUCACGCCUACAAUCCCUCACGCCUGUAAUCUCAGCAGUUUGGGAGGCCGAGGUGGACAGAUUGCUUGCGGUAAGGAGUUUGAGACCAGCGUAGCCAACAUGGCGAAACCCCAUCUCUACGAAAAAUUAGCCAGGCAUGGUGGUGAGUGCCUGUAGUCCCAGCUACUUCGGAGGUGGAGGCCGAAGAAUUGCUUGAGCCUGGAAGGCUGAGAUCUCAGUGAGCCGAGACUGCCACUGCACGGGUGACAGAGCGAGCCUCUGUCUCAAAGAAAGAAAGAGUAUGUACCUGGAUAUGUAUUUUUAAAAUAAUGUAAAGAUUUAAAAAUAGUUCGAAGAACCUAAUUGUAUGGCUUUUGAAGCAACUAGAAGUAUGUUCUUUACAGAUGGUGGGAGUAAUGUUAUAUUAAGUUUGUGUAAGCUAUAACACUUAAGUGUUUAUAAGCAUGUUUAUAAGCUGGUGUUUACAAGCAUGUUUUUAUUUCCGAACAAAAUUCAAAAGAAGUUUGUCUUUGUAAAAAUUCAGAUGUGCACAGUUCUUGUUCCUCUCUGAAGAUAUUGGAAAUGUAUUGCUAAUACUGGUAAUAUAUAACAAUUUUUUUAUGAAUAGAUGACUUAUUUAAUAGUUACGUAUCUAAAUCUGAAUAUUUUCUAUAUAAUUUGUCUAUGGAAACAAAUAUUUAUACAAUUGUUCACAUAUUGCUCUUUUCUUUGUAAUGUUAUUCCUUCUAGGUAUAAAAUAUAGACGUUCUCAAGAAGAUUAGUGUUUGCAAUAGAAAGCUGGGCCAUUUGGCCACACCUGCAAAUGAUUAUUGGUUUUGCGGGAGACUGCAAUCCAUAAAAAAUUACUGGCAGAGUUUGAGAAUUUGUAUAAGAAAACAAAUUUUAUGAGAUGCAAAAUCAAUACUAUUAUACUAAUUUAAAUUUUGUAAUAGCAAAGCUAAUUCUUGUUACUUUUCAGUCUUUCAAUUCACUAAGAUAAUGAGUGUUACGCACUGAACACAUACAAAUGUAUUGCUGUGACUGAAUGAAGAGGACAAAUUAACAAAGCAAUUCCGAGGCCCUGGAAAUUGAUCAAAGGCUAAUAAUCAUUUGUGAACUAUUUAUUCUUGGAAAAACUGCUAGAGAUUCAAGGAAGAGUGCAGCAAAUUUGUAGUAAGUUUACCUAGUGCUGCUCCCGUGCCUUCUGCCCACCCACCACACCCAGCACAGUGAGUAACAGUUGCAGUUUUUACAGCUGGGGGAAAAUCAACAGUGUUUUUUGCCACAAGGACAGACUUGAUUAGCGGUCAGAGGUUGGGGCAUAGUGUAACAGACCACUGCUUUUCAACUGAAAGUGCUGAAUUUUGCAGGAAAUGAAUGAGAAAACCCCAUUUUUUGUUGUUUUUUAUUUUUUUUAGUCUGAGGUGUAGUCUCCUCUGGGGCAAGAACAGUGCCAGCCAUAAAUAUAACAAAAUCCUAAACAUGAGAGUGCAAUAGACCUCAUGACAUUAGCCCUCUACAUAUUCUUUAAAUUUUUUUUUAAAUUGACACAUUGUAAUUGUACAUAUUUAUGGGGUACAACUUGAUGUUCAAUACAUAUAUAUGUUACAUUAAAUAAUCAAAUCAGGG
Molecule: long non-coding RNA, 2222 nt
Filed under: Homo sapiens (human)
Lineage: Eukaryota; Metazoa; Chordata; Mammalia; Primates; Hominidae
Description: HSALNT0366721
Source: RNAcentral